Molecule: transfer RNA, 75 nt
Filed under: Campylobacteraceae bacterium
Lineage: Bacteria; Pseudomonadati; Campylobacterota; Epsilonproteobacteria; Campylobacterales; Campylobacteraceae
Description: tRNA-Gln
Rfam family: tRNA
About the family: Transfer RNA (tRNA) molecules are approximately 80 nucleotides in length.
Source: RNAcentral
UGGGGUAUGGCCAAAUGGUAAGGCAUCUGGUUUUGGUCCAGUGUAUUGGGGGUUCGAGUCCCUCUACCCCAUCCA